UACAGAGGGGGCAAGCGUUGUUCGGAAUUACUGGGCGUAAAGGGCGCGUAGGCGGCCUGCUAAGUCGUACGUGAAAUCCCCGGGCUCAACCCGGGAACUGCGUCCGAUACUGGCAGGCUUGAAUUCGGGAGAGGGAUGUGGAAUUCCAGGUGUAGCGGUGAAAUGCGUAGAUAUCUGGAGGAACACCGGUGGCGAAGGCGGCAUCCUGGACCGGUAUUGACGCUGAUGCGCGAAAGCUAGGGGAGCAAACAGG
RNAcentral lists this ribosomal RNA (253 nucleotides) under uncultured bacterium. Its description in RNAcentral is "partial 16S ribosomal RNA". It matches the Rfam family "Bacterial small subunit ribosomal RNA", at positions 524 to 776 of the family's 1533-position model. The record is from RNAcentral.